UAGGGAAUCUUGCGCAAUGGGCGAAAGCCUGACGCAGCCAUGCCGCGUGAAUGAUGAAGGUCUUAGGAUUGUAAAAUUCUUUCACCGGGGAAGAUAAUGACGGUACCCGGAGAAGAAGCCCCGGCUAACUUCGUGCCAGCAGCCGCGGUAAUACGAAGGGGGCUAGCGUUGCUCGGAAUUACUGGGCGUAAAGGGCGCGUAGGCGGAUAUUUAAGUUGGGGGUGAAAGCCCGGGGCUCAACCUCGGAAUAGCCUUCAAUACUGGAUAUCUUGAGUUCGGGAGAGGUGAGUGGAAUGCCGAGUGUAGAGGUGAAAUUCGUAGAUAUUCGGCGGAACACCAGUGGCGAAGGCGACUCACUGGCCCGAUACUGACGCUGAGGCGCGAAAGCGUGGGGAGCAAACAGGAUUAGAUACCCUGGUAGUCCACGCCGUAAACGAUGAGUGCUAGUUGUCGGCAUGCAUGCAUGUCGGUGACGCAGCUAACGCAUUAAGCACUCCGCCUGGGGAGUACGGUCGCAAGAUUAAAAACUCAAAGGAAUUGAC
This 542-nucleotide ribosomal RNA is filed under the name uncultured bacterium. RNAcentral describes it as "partial 16S ribosomal RNA". It matches the Rfam family "Bacterial small subunit ribosomal RNA", at positions 355 to 914 of the family's 1533-position model. The record is from RNAcentral.